This 492-nucleotide ribosomal RNA is filed under the name uncultured bacterium. Its description in RNAcentral is "partial 16S ribosomal RNA". It matches the Rfam family "Bacterial small subunit ribosomal RNA", at positions 30 to 507 of the family's 1533-position model. The record is from RNAcentral.
AGUGAACGCUGGCGGUAGGCCUAACACAUGCAAGUCGAACGGCAGCACAGUAAGAGCUUGCUCUUACGGGUGGCGAGUGGAGGAAGGGUGAGGAAUACAUCGGAAUCUACUUUUUCGUGGGGGAUAACGUAGGGAAACUUACGCUAAUACCGCAUACGACCUACGGGUGAAAUCAGGGGAUCUUCGGACCUUGCGCGAUUGAAUGAGCCGAUGUCGGAUUAGCUAGUUGGCGGGGUAAAGGCCCACCAAGGCGACGCUCCGUAGCUGGUGUGAGAGGAGGAAGAGGCACACUGGAGCUGAGAGACGACACUGAGUCUGAGGGGAGGCAGAAGUGGGGAAUAUUGGACAAUGGGCGCAAGCUUGAACCAGCGAUAGAGGGUUGAUGAAGAAGGCCUGCGGGUGGGAAAGCCGUUUUGGUGUGAAAGAAAAGCAGCAGGUGAAUACACCGCUGUUCUGACGGUACCCAAAGAAGAAGCACCGGCUAACUUCGUG